Long non-coding RNA from Oryzias melastigma (Indian medaka), 833 nucleotides. RefSeq lists it as uncharacterized. The transcript is spliced from 4 exons. Lineage: Eukaryota; Metazoa; Chordata; Actinopteri; Beloniformes; Adrianichthyidae. The record is from RefSeq and is a predicted model, not a curated record.
CACACAUGACAGCAGGGAUCAUCACUGCAGCUGUAAUUGUUGCAGCAUGCAUUCUAGUUGUUGUGAUGCUGAUGGGAUGGAGGAGGAUUAAAGAAAGAAAAACACAGAUUGAGACAAAUGUGACUCCUCCAGAAGAUGCUGAUUCCUACGCCUCCAUCAGCUUCUCCAGGAACACCAACAACAGACGGCAGGUUCUGAACAAAGACGAUGGAGUCACUUACAGCAGUGUCAAAGUGUCUUCUUCUUCUCAUGCUCACAGUGAUCCCAUCAGCCUCCAUUAAACCAACAGAUGAGUCACAGCAAAUGUUCAUCCUGCAUUCAGAUCUCAAAGAUCGUGUUUUUAUGGAAGCUGCAGGACUUUCACUUCACAACUUUUCAUUUAAACUUUCAUAGUGUAUAUAUACUUAUUACCUAAAACAAUACUUCCUGAUCUUGAAGUUGCUGCAAACCUGGAGGCAUCAAAUGUUGCAGUUCCCCAUAAGACCGCAGGAGGAAGGUUACAAAAGAGAGCAACUUCCCUUCUAUGUGAAAAAGUCCAGCUUCACUACAUAUAAACAUGUGUCCAGCCUGAUGUCAAAAACUAAUAUAAUGUAUUUUCCUUUUUUUGACAAAUGUGGGGGUAGGUGGUAUGAUGGGCCAGCUUAUUAUGGGCUUUUUCCUUCAAUGUUCUGUGGAUAAUCUUCAUUUAAUUUGACCCACCUUAACAACGACUUUCAGGAAGUAGUUAAGGUGAGUGAAGUAAACUUCAGUUAAUGUGUCUGUUGAAGAUUAUGCAGCAGAAAUGUUAAGACCAGAUUCUCUUCUGUUUACUUAAAUAACAGAGUGUAAAGAAA